UACGAAGGGGGCUAGCGUUGUUCGGAAUUACUGGGCGUAAAGCGCACGUAGGCGGCUUUGUAAGUUAGAGGUGAAAGCCCGGAGCUCAACUCCGGAAUUGCCUUUAAGACUGCAUCGCUCGAAUCCGGGAGAGGUGAGUGGAAUUCCGAGUGUAGAGGUGAAAUUCGUAGAUAUUCGGAAGAACACCAGUGGCGAAGGCGGCUCACUGGACCGGUAUUGACGCUGAGGUGCGAAAGCGUGGGGAGCAAACAGG
RNAcentral lists this ribosomal RNA (253 nucleotides) under uncultured bacterium. RNAcentral describes it as "partial 16S ribosomal RNA". It matches the Rfam family "Bacterial small subunit ribosomal RNA", at positions 524 to 776 of the family's 1533-position model. The record is from RNAcentral.